ACCAAGCAACUUUGUGGCUUAUUUUCAGCAAUGUGAAGUUCUACUCUCUGAAGGUCACUCUGCUCUCAAGUCUACCUUACCUCCAAUACUUUGGCCUACAGCGGUUCCUCCUGCUACUGCUUCCUCUCAAGAUAUCUGAGCAGAACCCUAAUAUCCAGCAGGACACUUAUUCCCGAGCUGAACCAAGAUAUCCUAGGAACUGAUCAUGAAGCAUGAGUUACUUUCAAGAAGC
Eurytemora carolleeae is the source of this 232-nucleotide long non-coding RNA. RefSeq lists it as uncharacterized. The record is from RefSeq and is a predicted model, not a curated record. NCBI's taxonomy places the organism in Eukaryota, Metazoa, Arthropoda, Copepoda, Calanoida, Temoridae. The transcript has 3 exons.